CUGCUGCCUCCCGUAGGAGUCUGGGCCGUAUCUCAGUCCCAAUGUGGCCGUUCAACCUCUCAGUCCGGCUACUGAUCGUCGACUUGGUAGGCCUUUACCCCACCAACUAUCUAAUCAGACGCAAGCCCAUCUGUUAGCGGAUUUCUCCUUUCCUAUUUGUACCAUGCAGUACUUAUAGUAUAUGCGGUAUUAGCAAUGAUUUCUCAUUGUUAUUCCCCUCUAACAGGCAGGUUGCUUACGUGUUACU
RNAcentral lists this ribosomal RNA (247 nucleotides) under uncultured bacterium. RNAcentral describes it as "partial 16S ribosomal RNA". The record is from RNAcentral.